RNAcentral lists this ribosomal RNA (468 nucleotides) under uncultured bacterium. RNAcentral's name for it is "partial 16S ribosomal RNA". It matches the Rfam family "Bacterial small subunit ribosomal RNA", at positions 28 to 507 of the family's 1533-position model. The record is from RNAcentral.
GACGAACGCUGGCGGCGUGCUUAACACAUGCCAGUCGAACGGACAGGCCCUGCUUUUGUGCGGUGCUCGAGUGGCGAACGGGUGAGUAACACGUGAGUAACCUGCCCUUGACUUUGGGGUAACUUCAGGAAACUCGGGCUAAUACCCGAUAGGAGCUCCUGCUCCAUGGUGGGGAUUGGAAAGUUUCGGCGGUUGGGGAUGUACUCGCGGCUUAUGAGCUUGUUGGUGGGGUAGUGGCUUACCAAGGCUUUGACGGGUAGCCGGCCUGAGAGGGUGACCGGCCACAAUGCGACUGAGAGAGGGAGCAGACUCGUACGGGAGGCAGCGGGGGGGAGUAUGACGCAGUGGGCGGAAGCGUGAGGCAGCAACGCCGCGUGCGGGAUGACGGCCUUCGGGUGAUAAACCGCUUUCGCCUGUGACGAAGCGUGAGUGACGGUAAUGGGUAAAGAAGCACCGGCUAACUACGUG